This 465-nucleotide ribosomal RNA is filed under the name uncultured bacterium. RNAcentral describes it as "partial 16S ribosomal RNA". It matches the Rfam family "Bacterial small subunit ribosomal RNA", at positions 28 to 507 of the family's 1533-position model. The record is from RNAcentral.
GACGAACGCUGGCGGCGUGCUUAACACAUGCAAGUCGUACGGUAAGGCCCUUUCGGGGGUACACGAGUGGCGAACGGGUGCGUAACACGUGAGUAACCUGCCCACAACUUUGGGAUAACGCUAGGAAACUGGUGCUACUACUGGAUAUGUGCUCCUGCUGCAUGGUGGGGGUUGGAAAGCUCCGGCGGUUGUGGAUGGACUCGCGGCCUAUCAGCUUGUUGGUGGGGUAGUGGCCUACCAAGGCGGCGACGGGUAGCCGGCCUGAGAGAGUGACCGGCCACAUUGGGACUGAGGUACGGCCGAGACUCGUACGGGAGGAAGAAGGGGGGAAGAUUGAACAAGGGGCGCAAGCCGGAUGCAGAAAGGCCGCGUGCGGGAUGACGGCCUUCGGGUUGUAGACCGCUUUCAGCAGGGAAGAAGCUUUUUGUGACGGUACCUGCAGAAGAAGCACCGGCUAACUACGUG